GAUGAACGCUGGCGGCGUGCCUAAUACAUGCGAGUCGAGCGAACAGACGAGGAGCCUGCUCCUCUGACGUUAGCGGCGGACGGGUGAGUAACACGUGGAUAACCUACCUAUAAGACUGGGAUAACUUCGGGAAACCGGAGCUAAUACCGGAUAACAUGUUGAACCGCAUGGUUCAACAGUGAAAGACGGUCUUGCUGUCACUUAUAGAUGGAUCCGCGCCGCAUUAGCUAGUUGGUAAGGUAACGGCUUACCAAGGCAACGAUGCGUAGCCGACCUGAGAGGGUGAUCGGCCACACUGGAACUGAGACACGGUCCAGACUCCUACGGGAGGCAGCAGUAGGGAAUCUUCCGCAAUGGGCGAAAGCCUGACGGAGCAACGCCGCGUGAGUGAAGAAGGUCUUCGGAUCGUAAAACUCUGUUAUUAGGGAAGAACAAAUGUGUAAGUAACUAUGCACGUCUUGACGGUACCUAAUCAGAAAGCCACGGCUAACUACGUG
RNAcentral lists this ribosomal RNA (497 nucleotides) under uncultured bacterium. Its description in RNAcentral is "partial 16S ribosomal RNA". It matches the Rfam family "Bacterial small subunit ribosomal RNA", at positions 28 to 507 of the family's 1533-position model. The record is from RNAcentral.